UGGUUGCUGGAGAUGGUCAAACUUGGGUUUUAAUCACUUGAUUUGCAAGAUAUCACCUAUUGUUUAGCUGAUUCCAUCUCAUUCUAUAUGGCAGAUGGAAGAGUACAUCUUAUGUUUAAUGUUGUUGGGGACAUUGCUUGGUGCAAUGGCAAAAAGUUUGGGCUGUCAAGUGUAGUACACAGGUUCAAGUCUGAGAACAACUACUUCGUCCAAUUAAAGAAGCAGAACGU
This is a non-coding RNA of Camellia sinensis, 230 nucleotides long. The record is from RefSeq and is a predicted model, not a curated record. Lineage: Eukaryota; Viridiplantae; Streptophyta; Magnoliopsida; Ericales; Theaceae.